Molecule: ribosomal RNA, 497 nt
Filed under: uncultured bacterium
Lineage: Bacteria
Description: partial 16S ribosomal RNA
Rfam family: Bacterial small subunit ribosomal RNA
Source: RNAcentral
GAUGAACGCUGGCGGCGUGCCUAAUACAUGCAAGUCGAGCGAACGGACGAGAAGCUUGCUUCUCUGAUGUUAGCGGCGGACGGGUGAGUAACACGUGGAUCACCUACCUAUAAGACUGGGAUAACUUCGGGAAACCGGAGCUAAUACCGGAUAAUAUUUUGAACCGCAUGGUUCAAAAGUGAAAGACGGCCUUGCUGUCACUUAUAGAUGGAUCUGCGCUGCAUUAGCUAGUUGGUAAGGUAACGGCUUACCAAGGCAACGAUGCAUAGCCGACCUGAGAGGGUGAUAGGCCACACUGGAACUGAGACACGGUCCAGACUACUACGGGAGGCAGCAGUAGGGAAUCGUCCGCAAUGGGCGAAAGCCUGACGGAGCAACGCCGCGUGAGUGAUGAAGGUCUUCGGAUCGUAAAACUCUGUUAUUAGGGAAGAACAUAUGUGUAAGUAACUGUGCACAUCUUGACGGUACCUAAUCAGAAAGCCACGGCUAACUACGUG